Molecule: ribosomal RNA, 525 nt
Filed under: uncultured bacterium
Lineage: Bacteria
Description: bacterial SSU rRNA
Rfam family: Bacterial small subunit ribosomal RNA
Source: RNAcentral
AGACGCAGCCUGAUCAGCAUGCCGCGUGCGUGAUGAAGGCCUUCGGGUUGUAAACCUCUUUUGUCCGGAACGAAACUGAUCUGACCAGUACCCUGGGCUCCGGCCAACUCCGUGCCAAUAACCGCCGGAAAACUGCGGGCCCUCGCGUUGUUCGGAAUUUCUGGGGGUAACGUGCAUCUGAGUUACUUUUUAUAUCGGGGGUGAAAGCCCGGGUGUCAAACCCGGAAGUGCCCCCGAGACUGAACCUGUAAAUGCUUGUAGAGGCUGCUGGGAUUCCGAGUGGAAAAGGGAAAUGGAAUUAUAUUCGGAAGAACACCAUGGGUAAAUGUGACUCGGAGCACCGAUGUUGAAGGUAAUCCCCUGAACCUGGGCGAACACACAGGAUUAAAUACCCGGGGAGCCCACGCGAUAAAAUACCAUGACUAUCCGCCCCGUAACCUAGAACUUGGGUGGGUUGGCUCUCUUCUGACUUUAUCCCCCUGGGGAGUACGGUCGUUGAAUUACAGGUCAGAGAAGUUGGACGGA